This is a long non-coding RNA of Hevea brasiliensis (rubber tree), 488 nucleotides long. RefSeq lists it as uncharacterized. NCBI's taxonomy places the organism in Eukaryota, Viridiplantae, Streptophyta, Magnoliopsida, Malpighiales, Euphorbiaceae. The transcript has 3 exons. The record is from RefSeq and is a predicted model, not a curated record.
CGGUGGGCUAUGGAGAUGAUUCAACUUCCAGAGGCUUCCUCAUAAAUUUUUGGAAUUUUUGAGACACAGAUAAACUUUGGGUGAUCGAGGUCAGCUAUUUUUCUGCAUCGAGCAGCCACAAUAGUCAUCGGUGUACUGCCACAGGAGGAGUUAUUUUACAGAGCAACCUGUUUUCUUCCUCGCAGGUUUAACGUCGAUUAUUUAAUUGUUUUACUAUCUUUUCUAAAUUUAAAAUCUAGAACUCCGCAUGUGUUAGUAAUAGUGUAUACCUUGUUAGAAAUUGUGUUAAUUUAAAAUUUUGAGAUUAAUAAAUGAAGAUUUAUAUGGUAUUUAAACAGUUUGUAAAUGAGGUAACAGGGUUGAGCGAGGCUCCCCUUAUUUCAGUUUUUGAUGGCUAUCGGGUUGGGUUGAUCCGAAUAAAAAUAUUUUAUUUUAUUUAAUUUUAUGUACAUGUUGGGCCUAAGUUUUUGGGCCUUGGUUAUGGAUUU